UGAUUCUAGAAAUGGCAAUCCGAGAGCAUGGUCAGUGAGAAGGGCUGUCCGGGCUGGUCAGGCGUGAGGUCUGCGCUGGGAGGGGCCUCCCAGGUUCCCAGGAAGCGAGCUCUCCCUUCCUGACUCACAGCUACCUUCUCUGACAUUCUAGGGAAUUCAGCACUUUCUCUGGGUCCACUCCCAUGGCAGGAAGGAAACGGAUGCAGUCUUAGGUAGCAGGGCAUGGCAUACUUUGAGGCUGUUCACCAGCAAGAUGACGAACUCGCCAUUCUUCAUGCCGAUGGCCACCAUCUCCCCAUCGGGGCUGUAGGCUGCACACCUGGCCGCGUGGCCCAGGUUCACCUUGUUAAGCAGCUUCUGCGUGGACACAGAGGAACUUGCCCUGAGCCCCCGCCGCCUGGGCUGGUCUCCCCAGGGAAGCCCGCCCCCAGGCCGGCGCGCUUGGGCUGCCCCUGCCGCUGCGGGGCCUCUGGACCUCCUGCGCCUUCGAGAAGCCGAGGCGGCCAGCAUGCCCGAAGCAGAACAGCCCGGGAGACAACACGCGUCAGGGCAGCGCUGGGUGAAUUCUUCCCUAAGGGGCCUGGGUGGCGGUGCCGUGGGCUCCGCAGGGCGCCGCAGCUCUGCCCAAGGGUGCCGGUGAGCCGUGAGCCUGGUCGCCUUCGGAGCAACCGGCCCCGCGGGCUCCGACUGGCCCCCGUCCUGCUCAGGGAGGAGAGUUGGAGCUUCGGCGCCUGGCGGUUCGAAUCCCGAAUCCUGGCUGUCACUAGCCAGCGCGGCUGCGGCAGUAACUCCCGCGUGUCCCCUCGGAAAGAAGGCGCCGACACUGCUCAGCCGAGUAAUUAUGACCCUUAACGUGACCAGAACGGCCAUGGUUCGGCUCUGGCAUACCCGUUCUUUCAUCCUUAUGCCAAAAAUAGGAAAUGUUGACUGGCUAUUUUGUGAUGAGCCCAGCUGUUGUAGUUUUUAGAACAAAGAAGACAAAUACUGUGUGAUCCCACUCCUAUGACGUACUCGUCCAAGUCACAGAGAAAAGUCAAUGGCGGUUGCCAAGCGCUGGGCGGAAGGGGAAAGGAGCGUGAGCAGUUCAUAGCCAUGGAUGAGAGCAUCAGCAGAGCUCUCCAUCACUGGGUCUCUGCCAGGACAUUCCACAGACGGCAAGCUCACUAUAGAGCCUGGCAGCCAGUUUCUGCCAUUGAACAGCUCAGGUUCUUCCUCGUCUCUCCCUCACACUGAACAAAAACCAUCUCUACAUGACCUCCAGAUUCUGGGCCUCGCUCUGCCUUCAGCCUCCCAGAUGUCUCAUUACCCUAGUGGAUGACUGCCAUUGAUCUAUUUAAAAGCAAAGCUCUCAAUUCCUAAUUGUGGAGACUCCAAGUCAUGUCUGCCCUUUUUUAUGGGGAACUUCUAGAAACUAAGUUCUUAGACUGAUAAUAAUUCAAAUUCAAAAAUAUAAACACAGGGUAUAAAACAGAGGUUAAGAUAUAUUUUCAAGGACCUCAGAAUUUCUUGGGGAAUUAAAAAAAAAAAAAGAAAAGAAAAGGAGAAAAGGAACCCACACAUCAAGACUAAGAUUCUGACUUGUCAGCUCUGGGCAAGAGCCUGGACAUACCUAUUUAAACACAACACAAGACCAACAACAAAAAAACCACCCCUGUAGUUGUUUCUGAUACUCAGCCCAGGUAUGACUUGAAAAGCCAUGACUUGGAGUCACAGUUUGAUGGCCCCUUCCUGCCCCCUUCCUGCCCAUGUAACUGUGGGCAUACACAAAUUAUUGACUAUCUCUGAGCCUAUAGUAAUAAUAUUAUCUGUAAUAGCAGGAACUACCAUCCAGUGAAUGUGGCUAUGAGGCAGGCAUAAGGAAAGGCACCCUGCAUUAUAAUGCAUGUGAUCCUCACAACAACACAUGUACCAGAACAGAGGGGCUAAGUAACGGACCCAAGGUCACACAGCCAACACUACUCAGAAGUGUUGGAUUCUGCUAAGACAACUCCCCCCAGCAGGGCAAGUCCCACCUCAGAGGCUCAUUUUAAGGAUUCAACAAUGUAGCACGGGGAACGUGUCAGGCUCAACUAUCACUUGGCCCCCAGGAAGACAGCUCGGGGCAGACCGGCCCAGCCCACUCACUUUGCC
Molecule: long non-coding RNA, 2130 nt
Organism: Mustela erminea (ermine)
Lineage: Eukaryota; Metazoa; Chordata; Mammalia; Carnivora; Mustelidae
Exons: 4
Source: RefSeq, a predicted model, not a curated record